Molecule: ribosomal RNA, 476 nt
Filed under: uncultured soil bacterium
Lineage: Bacteria
Description: bacterial SSU rRNA
Rfam family: Bacterial small subunit ribosomal RNA
Source: RNAcentral
AGGAUGAACGCUGGCGGCGUGCUUAACACAUGCAAGUCGAACGGUGAAGCUGGAGCUUGCUCCAGUGGAUCAGUGGCGAACGGGUGAGUAACACGUGAGUAACCUGCCCUUGACUCUGGGAUAAGCGUUGGAAACGACGUCUAAUACCGGAUACGAGCUUCAGUCGCAUGACUAGGAGCUGGAAAGAAUUUCGGUCAAGGAUGGACUCGCGGCCUAUCAGCUAGUUGGUGAGGUAACGGCCCACCAAGGCGACGACGGGUAGCCGGCCUGAGAGGGUGACCGGCCACACUGGGACUGAGACACGGCCCAGACUCCUACGGGAGGCAGCAGUGGGAAUAUUGCACAAUGGGCGCAAGCCUGAUGCAGCAACGCCGCGUGAGGACGACGGCCUUCGGUGUAACCUCUUUAGUAGGAAGAAGCGAAAGUGACGGUACCUGACAGAAAAGCGACCGGCUAACUACGUAGCCAGCAGCCGC